RNAcentral lists this ribosomal RNA (447 nucleotides) under Salmonella enterica subsp. enterica serovar Lubbock. Its description in RNAcentral is "partial 23S ribosomal RNA". It matches the Rfam family "Bacterial large subunit ribosomal RNA", at positions 987 to 1348 of the family's 2925-position model. The record is from RNAcentral. Lineage: Bacteria; Pseudomonadati; Pseudomonadota; Gammaproteobacteria; Enterobacterales; Enterobacteriaceae.
CACGGCGGGUGCUAACGUCCGUCGUGAAGAGGGAAACAACCCAGACCGCCAGCUAAGGUCCCAAAGUCAUGGUUAAGUGGGAAACGAUGUGGGAAGGCCCAGACAGCCAGGAUGUUGGCUUAGAAGCUGCCAUCAUUUAAAGAAAGCGUAAUAGCUCACUGGUCGAGUCGGCCUGCGCGGAAGAUGUAACGGGGCUAAACCAUGCACCGAAGCUGCGGCAGCGAACGUAUCACCCAAGACAACUUUACGGAGUUGACGAUUGACGGAGCGAAGCGACGUCAAAGCGUUCAUUAAAGUCGAGUUGGCUUAGGGAUACGUUCGUUGGGUAGGGGAGCGUUCUGUAAGCCUGUGAAGGUGGCCUGUGAGGGUUGCUGGAGGUAUCAGAAGUGCGAAUGCUGACAUAAGUAACGAUAAAGCGGGUGAAAAGCCCGCUCGCCGGAAGACCAA